Molecule: non-coding RNA, 5328 nt
Organism: Nothobranchius furzeri (turquoise killifish)
Lineage: Eukaryota; Metazoa; Chordata; Actinopteri; Cyprinodontiformes; Nothobranchiidae
Source: RefSeq, a predicted model, not a curated record
AGAAAAGAAAAACAUUCUAUGGGGUUCACAUACGUUCUACUUUGAAUAGUAGUUUUAGAUCAUGCAAGUAUAAAAGGGAGAAGUAUUGAAACCAUUUCAUGCUUCAUUAAUCUUAUUUUACCUCUUUUGUUGUUGUGUUUACAGGUGCCUGUGACCAACGAUCAACACAUGAGCAAGUUCACAAUGAAAUGAUGUCAGCAUCCGGUGCUGUGCAAUACUAUCAGUUGCAGGUCCCACAGGGAGAAAGUAAGAUUCCAUACUACACUUUUUUACAAUCAUGGGCACAGAACUCUGCAGUGAAACUGAUAUAUUGAUGACACAUAAUGACUAAUUAACACAUUUUAAUAAUUUAACUAAUUAGCGGACCUGUAGUAGCUGAAAAUAAAAUCUGCCAAUUGAAACAUUUUGGUAGUGCUUCCAAAUAUAUAAAUUAAUAUCUAUGUUUGUGCAGAUUUAUUCCCACCCCACAUUUCCGGGCGAUACACCCCCUUGCGUGCUCAUCAACAUGCUCAAAACGGUAUGCAGUACUGUCUUCUAGGUCAAUAACCACAACUUACUAAUGAAAUAUCAAAUAUCUUGUCAUUUUUUAUGCCCUCUAAUGUCGGAUAAGUAGACAGUUUUUUUUGUGUGUGAAGUGUGAAAGGGAACAGCUUUAUUUUCUCAUAGAAGGCAUUGCUCAAGAGUGAUCAGUAGUAGAUACAUUUUCAAGUGGGUUGGCAGUUUGAGAGAGAAGAAAAUAAUUGUAAUGGUCUUGUAAUACCACUGGGAAGGCGGCCUGGGUAGACUGAUGAAUUUCUUUGUUUGUGUUGAUGGUAAAGAAAUGCAUAUAAUUAACAUACAUUGUCUUUAUAGAUGUGACCAUGCAGGGUGACAAUGGACAUAUUUUGAAAGGUAAGUACUAGAAACUGUUAUGCUCUGCCACAUCCCAAUGCAUGGUCAGAUCUUUUAUUACUAGAGCUGCAGCAAACUCAUUUUUUUGAUUGUCGACUAGUCACAGAUUAUUUUUGACACUGAUCAGGUCAUGCAUACACAAUGCAAAACAUACAGCUUAUUGCACCACCAUUCAGCUGGACGGGAUGAUAGUUUGAUAAACUUUUAAUGAACUUUGGACCUUGUAGCAACAAACAAAUUAACUGUAGCAAAAAGUGCACCAUUCCUGUAAGUGUUCAAAACUGCUGUUUGCUUAUUGGCUGCAGCACAGCACACAUGUUCUUCAAGGACAGGAAGGCAGACAAGGCAAUGGAAGGUACAGUGGCACAGGGUUUCCCCCAGAAAAUGUGAUAAGCCUCGCAGACUGGACCGUCUGGGGUGAAAAAUGUGUUUGACAGAUCAUUCUGUUGGACAGAUUGUUAAGUUCCGCUGCUGUUUCCCUGCAGUAUCAGUUGAGACAAGCAAAGGCUUAUAAAGUGCUGGGGGAAACCCUGGUGGCAGUUUGAGGGAAAAAAUUGCUUAAAAAAUAGCAAAACGUUGAUAACUAAAUUUGUCGCCAACAAUUGUACUAGUUGACAUAAUCGUGACUAAUCGACUAGUCAUGGCAGCCCUACUAACUAUUAAAUACUUCACCACAAAAGUAUUCAGCACAUUUUUGUCUCAUGAAAAUUUGUUUACUUUUUUAAGACAUUGCCAUCCGAAAGAUGACUGAAAUGCUUUCCCAAGUACAGAGGUGGAAAGAGUACUAAAAUGUUGUACUUAAGUACAAGUAUAAUUACUUUCAUGAAAUUUUACUCAAUUACAAGUAAAAUUACCUGUACUCAAGUAAAAGUAAAAAGUAGCUUAUUUCAAAUGUAGUCAGAGUAAAAGUUACUUAGUUACUUUUUUGACUGUGCAAGGAUGGGCUCUUCUGAAUAGUUAAAAAAAGACAAUGGGGUAUAAAUGUCAAAGUGGCCAUUUUUUUAAUUAAAUGAACAAAUAUGCAUAUUGAAGUACAAAGGCAGUUACACUGCAAACUAGUAACAUAAAUUAGGUUAUAGUCACAAGCCCAUGACUUUUCCCUGAAUGCUUAUUUAGAGCAGCUGAUUUUUAAAGUUAGCAGAGUUCAUCUUUGGUAGUGGGUUCACUCACUCAUUUAAAGAUAUCGGCCAGAGGCAAAAUUUGUUUGAACAGCAUGUGUAAAUGUGUAUUAAAAUCUCAGAUGAAAAAGGUUUUUGGAUUUUGACGGCUGGAAUUGUAAGAAAAUCUGAUGUUUGUGACCAGCGCAGGAAAAACAGAAACUAACUUCCGGUCUAAGCCCUGGGCAGCAGUUGACGUUUCACAUGGAGCUCUGCUGAAACAGCUGUAGUAAACAACGCCUGGCUCCGCUGUUUCUGCGUUAGCGUUAUAGCAGAGAACAAUGUGUCAUCAAUCAGAUGUAGCUUCUGAAGCCUCUACUAGUCCAUCAGAUUUGCUUUUUCUCUGGGAAACGGCGACGAGAAUGGAUGUUAGAUUACUGGAGAAGUUCAACCGAACUCCGACCCCGCCAGCUGGAUAUCACUACCAGAGGUGCAGACAUGUUUUAGACCGUUUGACUCAGAAGACCUGCGAGCUGAUUUGGACAUAGAGGAGGAUUCUGUUCAUCUUCAGAACCAAAAUUGGUACAGUUUGUUUACUUUUCUUAAAUAUUUCAUUUCUGUGCUCCACUGGGAGCUCUAAGCUGACAAGUUUUCAGCUGGUUUUAGCUCCAUCAUGUGUCCCAAUAUAGUUCAGUAAUCUACAGUUUUACUGCUGUGUAUAUUUAUUGACAUAACUCUGGAAAAUAAUGAACCUACAAUUUACCAGAAUAAAUCUUCUUGAUGCUGGAGUAAAGCCUGGUUUAUGCUUCUCCGUCGGCUCCGCAAGGGACAGACACGCACGGAUUGACGGAAGCGUUUUGCUCUCUUACUUCUCCGUCUCCUGGAGAGUGUUGCAAAGCAAUUGCUCGGCAGGACAGCAGAGGGCGUAGCGCUGUUCUGUGGUAUCCUGUCAUGUAUCGGCCCAAGAUAGUGUGUUUAUAUUGUGUUUUUUGUGUACAUAAGAGACUUUUAACACGGACAUAUUUCUCCUCCACCGCUUCAUGGGCUCCCUGUCAUGUUGUGGUGUAGAUGUCUAACCCACGACAUACAGAAUCAGCUUGAGAUGGGGAAAGUGUUUUUUUAAAUAAGAAUUUAUUAAAGGAAACCAAGGGAGCAGCUUGAACGUAGCUGAGUUCUUUCAUAAAGGGAGCCGGUGCGGGAAAUCUGUGGACAGAUGGGAGUCAGAUCCAACUCAAAGGGGAAAACAAGGAAUCAGAAUUGUGUGGGGAACUUACAGUCUGGAGAGGGGGAAAAGUAGCUCGAGGGAGGAGUGGUCCGGUCUGGGCUGAGAGGGGAUUUUUGAAACUGAGAUCCAGAAGGGGAGACGUGGAGGGAGCUGAGUUGGUGGAGAUCCAGGGAGCUUAGGUGGGCAGCUGGAGGUGGUUCUGGCCAGGGAGCAGCUGAGAGACAAGCAGGUUGGAGUUCCAGAGAAAUAGCCAGUCGGGGAUGAAAGUGGAGGUUUGAUCUGGUGAACAAGAGCAGGAAGAGUAAAAUGCAAAAUCCAAAAAUCCAAAACACAUCUAAAAUCUCAAAAGGUCAUAAGAGCUUGAAAAUACUGAGAUGAGGUGGCUUAGAAGGUACCCAGGUAGAGUAAUCAUCCAGCGAAGUGUAGGAGUCUCCCAGCUGCUUAAAUACCCCUGGCCAGCUGAUGAGCAGAUCUGCUGCAGCUUGGUCACCUCCAGACACGCCCACCUGCAGAGGGAAAACUCAAAAGACAGGGAGUGACAGCAGGGAAAUACCUCAGACCAUGACACUCCCCACCUCUAAACCCACGUUUCCUGUCAUUUCCGUCCACAUAUUAAAACGCUUGCUGUGCAUCUUUUCACUCCUCCAGUCACGGGAGAACUAAACGUUCAUAUUUUUAGAGUUUUUUCGCGAGAUAUUCUUCAAGCUUCUCCGUGUCUGCUGCUAGUUAUCCCCGGCUCUCUUUGCAAUGGCGGCGCUGUAAACAACAGCGGCGUCCUGACCAAUCACAAGCUUGCGUAAUCCGUCUCGUUCGACGGAUGUUUAAAAAAGUGGGCUUGACUCCGUACGUACUUGCGUGCUGCCGGCGCCCUACGCAAGGACGGAUAAUGGCGUUGCGUGUCUCCGCACUGACGCAGACGGAGAAGCAUAAACCAGGCGUAACUCCUUAGCUCAACUCGUUGUUUGCACUAAUCCAGGAUGUCAUGCAGGUUUUAAUGUUAAAUAUAGAGAUCAUCUUUUAGAUUAUAUCUGUGUGUGUGUGUGUGUGUGUGUGUGUGUGUGUGUGUGUGUGUGUGUGUGUGUGCGCGCGCGUGCGUGUGUGUGUGUGUCGUAGCUUUCCCAAAGGACUUGUUCUUUCCUUACCGGAGCGAACACGGUUAGUUUUGCUGCAGUCAUGCUAACGAGACUCGUCUAGAGUCCAGAAGUAGCGGUGCGGUUCUAGAUGGAUUUAUAGAUGUAGGUUAUUAUUUUAGAUCAGACCUGUUAUUUAAAAAUGCGUAUAGGACACAGACACAUGGCUCAGACCUUUUGCUGCAGCUGUAAACGCAAUUUUACAUAAUAAUUAGGAGCAUGAAAGUAAACAAAUAACAGUUAUUCACAAUAUUAGCAUCAGCAGCUUUCUUGUUUUACGUGCUGGAGUGAUGUAUGCGAAACACAGUUCUUCACUGUCUGGAGGAGAUGAUUUGGAUUUUCUGUAAUGAUUUAUGACAAAAGUCCUUAAUAAAAUAAAAAACUGGACCCAGUACAUGUUUAUAUAGAUAAUAAAGUGUAGUUAUUUUGCAUUUCUACAAUUUUAAUGCCGAGCCAAUUCCUUUAACCCUUCACCACUGAAAUCAGUUUGUUCAUUCCAAUCCUCCUAAAUAAUCCUCCAAUCAUCCAACUGGAGUCUCGUAACGUCCAUCCUGUCAGAACAGGCCUUGGAGCCCAGGUGUUACUAGAACUAAUGGUGUCUCCUCACCAGCGUGAGCCUCCAAACUGUGAAGGUUGGUCUCCAAACAUGAACUUCAAAUUCAUGCAUUUAUCUCCUCUUGUAACACUUUAAUAUGUUUUAAAAGGCUUGUAUCAUGAUAUGUUACACCUCCCAGACCAAAGAUAGGUCCAAUAUAAUAUAAAAAUCUUAUCAUAAACACUGUAGAGACAUCAUUGUUUAUUAAAUACAAGUUAUUUUCCUGAGCCAUUACUUCAGCCAAGCUAGGAUGCAUGGAUUUGAUGAAGCCAUGCUGUCUUAUGCAGUCACACACACACACACACACACACACACACACACACACACACACACACACACACACACACACACACACACACACACACACACACACACACACACACUGCAGCA